GAUUUUAUCAAACCUAUUUGUAUGGAACGGAUGCCUAGGCAUCAGUCUGUAAGGGACGUUAUUAUACGAAAGGCCGUAUCCUAUAAACUUAUGUAAAAUACGGAUAUCCCAACGGGAAACCCAAGAGAACAUAUUGCAGGCGGAAUUAUCCUAAAGCAAACCAUUGUAAAUCAAACGAGAAUCUGAGAGUAGUAAAGAACGAAAUCGGAAAAAAAGGCCCUCGCAGCAAAAAAGUUAUUGAACUUUGUAAUAGAUUUUCUUUGAAUAGUUAUGAAUACUUGCCAUAGAGGGUGUAAGCCCCGUAAAAGAAAACACUAUAAUGAUCCGGUGGGUCUGUGCUCUUCUAAAAAAAAAGGGCGCUAUAAUGUUAUAGGGGGUACCACCCUCCUAAAAAAAAGAACAGACUGUGACCGAUAGUGAACAAGUACCGUGAGGGAAAGGUGAAAAGAAGUGGAAAAACCACUAGUGAAAUAGACCCUAAAAUAACAUACAAAGUAGCAGUUGAAAGUAAAUAUUUAAUAAAAUCUUAUUUCGGCGUACCUUUUGCAUGAUGGGUCAGCGAGUCAAUGAUUAAUGCAAAUAAGCUUAAGCCACUAGGUGUAGGCGUAGUAAUAACUGUUUAUCUUAGUAAUAAUCAUUGUACCCGAAGCCGAGCGAGCUAAUCAUGAGCAGGUCGACACCUGUCAGAGGAUUACGGGGUAGAGGACUGAACCCGUUUCUGUAGCAAUAGAAUGGGAUGACUUGUGAUUAGGGGUGAAAGGCCUAUCAAGCUCGGGCAUAGCUGGUUUUUUGCGAAAUAUAUUUAGGUAAAGCGGUAGUUAUUGUAAUAGGGUGGCGCGCUAAGCAUUUCAACUUAGCAACACUGCUGUGUCUGUAGAGUCAAAUCGGAGGAGAGGGGGGUGCUGAGCUUUUCAAACCUCUGAUAACUCCCAAGGACUUUUUUAUACUAUACUACCAGUCAGACUUUGUGCGCAAAGGUUCAAAGUCAAAAGGGAAAAAGCCCAGAUCUGUCGAUAAGGUCCCAAAAUAGAAGUGUGCUCAGUGGAAUAAGCUAUGCUCCCGCGAAGACAGCCAGUAGAUAGACUUGGAAGCAGCCAUGCUACAGCGAAAGCGUAACAGCUCACUGGUUUAGCUGGGGUGAGCCAAAAAUAUACGGGGCUCAAGACAUUUGACCGAAGCGCAGAUAGUAUCUAUAAACAAAGAGAAGUCCGCUACUAUUCGCUCAAGCGGAUAGAGUUAGUAGCAGCUAUUUGCUGCUUUAAUAUAGCAGACUAAUUUAUAGAUUCUAGGUAGCAAAACGUUCUGUUUAUUUAUUACGAUUUGUUGAAAAACAUAUUUAAAAUAUCAGAAGUGAAUAUGCUGACAUAAGUAACGACAAAUUUAAUUAUGAGUAUUUUAAAAAUAAACAAAGAGAUUCGCUUUGACUUAAAGCCUUUUUUACAAAGUUUGAAAAGGUUUUCUAGCGACAUCUUACUUUAUAUCACUCAUACUAUAAAAAAAAAUGGCCGAAAGUUCGAGGUUUUCUGCGCACUGUAAUACAUCGCAGUAGUGAAACGGCCCCUAACCGCAUAGCCAAACGGCUUUCUUUGGGAUGGGCUCUAUAGUGGCAAACCCACAAAACACUAGGAAUUGUCAAAAACAAAAACGAUUUUUUAUAGCUUUUGCUAUAAAGAAUCCAGGAAAACUUUGUUUUUUAUGCACUGCCACAGCUUAUUAAAAAGUGCAGAGGGCGGUCAAUUCAGUACCGUACUUAAACCGACACUGGUGAACUGAUAGAACAUAUUAAGGCUUAGAGAUAACUAUGUAGAAGGAACUCGGCAAAUUACUUGCGUGACUUCGGAGGAAGCAAGGCUUAAUUUAUAUUUAUCUAAAGAAUAGAUAGAGCCGGCGACUGCGGCUAUGCCGCAGUCACCGGAUAGAAUUUAUAAUUAAGUGUCACUAAAGAGGGGACGGCGACUGUUUAACAAAAACACAAGACUCUGCUAAGUAUUAAACUAUGUAUAGAGUCUGACUUCUGCCCAGCGCUGGAGAAUAAAAAUAGCUGGUGAAAGCUGGAUAUAUAAAAGGCCGGCAAACGGCGGCAGUAACCCUAACUGUCCUAAGGUAGCGAAAUUCCUUGGCGCAUAAUUGGCGUCCCGCAUGAAUGGCGUCACGACUGUCCCGCUGUCUCCUACAUAGACUCUGUGAAAUUGAAAUUUCCGUGAAGAUGCGGAAUAACUGGCAGGGGACGAAGAGACCCUGUGCACCUUGACUAUAUAUUGUUACUGCAUAAAGCAUCCAAAAGUGCAGAAUAGAUGGGAAGCGUGGGCUUCGCUCCAGGACGCAAAAUUGACAUACCAUCCUUUUAGAUGACUGCGUGCUUUUUAUCGGGAGAUCUGAUAAUAUACUAACAAUUAGAUAGUUUGUCUGGGGCGGAAGCCUCCUAAAAAGUACCGGGGGCGUGCAAAGGUUGUUUUUAUAGGGUAUUUUCCUAUAAUAGUGUAACUGCACAAAUCAGCCUGACUGUAAGAUUGACAAAUCAAGCAGAAACGUAAGUUGGCAGUAGUGACCCAGCUAUGUUUGGUGGAACCAUAGCUGAUCAACGGAUUAAAGGUACGCCAGGGAUAACAGGCUGAUCCUCCCCAAGAGUCCAUAUCGACGGGAGGGUUUGGCACCUCGAUGUCGGCUCAUCGUGUCCUGGGGCUGUAGGAGGUCCCAAGGGUUGGACUGUUCGUCCAUUAAAACGGUACGUGAGCUGGGUUCAGAACGUCGCAAGACAGUUUGGUUUCUAUCUCUGUCAGAAAGACUGAGGAUAUUAGGAUUUCGUACGUAAGGAACAGAUCCUACAAACCUCUGGUGUACGUGUUGUCAAACGGCAUGGCACGAAAGCUAAGUUUGAUUAUUUAACUGCUGAAUGCAUCUAAAGCAGGAAACAGAAUCCAAAAAAGGUCUCACAUACGUGCAACAAUAGCACGUUGAUAGGUGACAGGUGCAAUCUUCGUGAGAAGCAAAGCCAUGUCAUACUAAAAGUAUAGCCAUU
RNAcentral lists this ribosomal RNA (3019 nucleotides) under Bulbochaete rectangularis var. hiloensis. RNAcentral describes it as "large subunit ribosomal RNA". It matches the Rfam family "Bacterial large subunit ribosomal RNA". The record is from RNAcentral. Lineage: Eukaryota; Viridiplantae; Chlorophyta; Chlorophyceae; Oedogoniales; Oedogoniaceae.